This 645-nucleotide long non-coding RNA is filed under the name Homo sapiens (human). RNAcentral's name for it is "HSALNT0229981". The record is from RNAcentral. Lineage: Eukaryota; Metazoa; Chordata; Mammalia; Primates; Hominidae.
CCUGUGGGAUGUGUGAGGUGAAUUGGGACUUGUGUGAGGUUACCUGGGAAAUGUUUGAGGUGACCUGCGGGAUGUGUAAGGUGACAUUGGGGAUGUGUGAGGUGACUCAGGGCACAUGUGAGGUGACCUUGGGGAUGUGCAAGGUCACACUGUGUGAGUGUGAGGUCAUGUGGGAUAUUUCAAACUUUGUAAGGAAAGCCUGCAACAAUAUAUGGCUCUAGAAGCUUCACACUCCAACACUGUUAAUGCGCACAUCCUCAAGGAACUCUAAAUGUUUCCAGGUUAGCUUAAAUGCCAUGGAGUGACACCUGCCCCAGGUACACUCAUAUAUGCAUCCUGGGUCUCCCUAUCAACCCCUAUCCUCAAAUUUUCAGUUCAUGUUUGCUCCAUGAUAUCAACUCUGAUAUGCUGAGGUUUUUUUUUUUUUAUCUGUAGUUGUUCAGGUUUGCUGUUUCACUCUCAUUACUCUGGGCUCAGUCCUCUCCUCAGGUGUCCCACUUCAGAGCUUGCUAUGUAAUAGGAGACAUGCAAAUAGGACCCUCCCUUUUCUGAUGAAAAGCAGCCCAGCCCUGACCCUGCAGCCGUGGGAGAGAAGCCCCAGCCCUGGGAUUCUCAGGUGUUUCUAUUGGGUCAACAGCAAUAAAC